AUGGCGGCAUGGAGGCCGCGGUGGUGCAGGGUAAUAAGACGCGGCACCGAGCCAGGCGCGACCGGUGCGUGUUACGGGUGCGCACUGGACGUGUCGGGCGCGUCGGGACCGCGGGAGUGGACCGCGUCGAGGCGCUGGACUUGGUUGCGCAGAUCGCGUACGUGCGCGGCGGGAGCGCAGGCCGGGAGCGCGGGGACGUGGGGAGUGCGCGCGAAGGGCACGGUGAUCGCGGAGACGAGGAGGUCGCAAAGGACAUGCGUGGUGGCGCAGAGGUCGCGACGGCUCGGGGCGACAACCAUGGAAGGUCCAUGGCACGUAGGGUCGGGUGCGCGCGGGACGUGCGGGGCGCGGACGGACGCCAGGCGUGUGUCGCCGGCUGAGAUGGAGCUCGGCGUAUGUCGCCGGGGUCGUGACGGAGCACGGUGCGACCGGAAUCAGUGCGUCAGGUCGGGUCCGUGGCGGUGCGACCGGCGUCGAUGCGCCGGGUCGGGUCCGCGGGCUGGGUCACGGCCGUGA
Molecule: ribosomal RNA, 516 nt
Filed under: Triticum aestivum (bread wheat)
Lineage: Eukaryota; Viridiplantae; Streptophyta; Magnoliopsida; Poales; Poaceae
Description: partial small subunit ribosomal RNA
Source: RNAcentral